This 235-nucleotide unclassified non-coding RNA is filed under the name Hevea brasiliensis (rubber tree). Lineage: Eukaryota; Viridiplantae; Streptophyta; Magnoliopsida; Malpighiales; Euphorbiaceae. The record is from RNAcentral.
GAACCACAAUCUUACCAUCAAGCUGGAGAGGAAUAAACUGGAUUAUUACUAUGAAAAAUGAAUUGGAAGCUUUAGAGAAGAAAACACUUGGGUCCUUACCACUCUACCACAAGGCAAGAAAGCCAUAGCUUCUAAGUGGAUUUACAAAGUAAAGUAUAACCUAGAUGGUACUGCUGAUAAGUACAGGGCUAGGUUAGCUGCAAAGGCUGUAGUUAAUUAGCAAGAAUUGACUAAC